UAUUACUAUCAUCCUCGCUGUUAGACAUAUGAGGAAACAGGUCCUAACAGGUUGAGUAACUUGUCCCCGAUCAUCAGCUAGGUUUGGAAGACAGGACGUGAAAGUCAACAACCCACGCUCCAAAACAAGGCUCUCCCCGCAAUUCCAGAAGCCUCACCUUGCACUGGUAUUAGGAAUCAAGGAUAUGCCUGGUUUGUGCGAUGAGCCUCGGAAACCAAGAAGCCACGGUCUGUCUUCAAAGGGGCUUCAGUCCAGAAGGGGACAGACAAAAUAAAUAAAACAUUAAAAAAAAAUAAAAAAAAAUAAAGCCAAGAAAGCCAUGCAAAAAGAAGUCAACAUCUAAAAGAAGAGAAAGAUCCAUACAUCUUCUACCUUCCAGUGGCCCAGAACACUGUAACUCUCAAGGCAGGGCCGUGUGCCUUCAGAAGAGGGGUCCAGGAAGAAUAAGCUUAACCACUGUGCCCCAUCAGGUUGCCCCUCCUUUCUGAGUGGCUCGUGAAGAAAUGGAGAGCAGUAACAUAGGGCACCCACCAUGGUUAUCAAGGGCAGGCCUGGCCCGCUGGGAAGAAGCUCUCCUACUGUGAUGUGGCCCAAGUCGAUACCUCAACGAGGGAAGACAUGCCUUAGACUAGACCUACCAUGAUGUUUUCAGUGCUGCCAACAAAACUAGAUCAUCGAAGUGGAUUCUGGCUCAUUGAGUUUAAAUAUAUCAUAGUUUUCUGUGACCUCAGAAAAAAAUUACAAUCAUGCCGUGUCCCCCAACACACAUGUACCCCCCCCCCACACACACACCUUAUUCCUCUUCUCUGCUUUGUUCUUCUCACUGAUACUUUUUACAACUUGAUAAACGGGUUAUUUUUUAAUUUGUUUCGUGUUUCUUUUUUUUUCCAUUAGAAUAUAAAUUUUCCCAAGGACAGGGAUUUUUGCUCAUUUUGUUCACUGUGCAUGCCUCCCUUCCCCUCUCUUAGAAAAUGAUUCGACUCCACGAAGUGCUUUGUAUUUGUUGAAUGAAUGAAUGAAUGAAUAAAAAAACGGUUCCUA
Hyaena hyaena (striped hyena) is the source of this 1041-nucleotide long non-coding RNA. RefSeq lists it as uncharacterized. Lineage: Eukaryota; Metazoa; Chordata; Mammalia; Carnivora; Hyaenidae. The transcript is spliced from 3 exons. The record is from RefSeq and is a predicted model, not a curated record.